UGUCUGGGAACUGCCUGAUGGAGGGGGAUAACUACUGGAAACGGUAGCUAAUACCGCAUAACGUCGCAAGACCAAAGAGGGGGACCUUCGGGCCUCUUGCCAUCGGAUGUGCCCAGAUGGGAUUAGCUAGUAGGUGGGGUAACGGCUCACCUAGGCGACGAUCCCUAGCUGGUCUGAGAGGAUGACCAGCCACACUGGAACUGAGACACGGUCCAGACUCCUACGGGAGGCAGCAGUGGGGAAUAUUGCACAAUGGGCGCAAGCCUGAUGCAGCCAUGCCGCGUGUAUGAAGAAGGCCUUCGGGUUGUAAAGUACUUUCAGCGGGGAGGAAGGGAGUAAAGUUAAUACCUUUGCUCAUUGACGUUACCCGCAGAAGAAGCACCGGCUAACUCCGUGCCAGCAGCCGCGGUAAUACGGAGGGUGCAAGCGUUAAUCGGAAUUACUGGGCGUAAAGCGCACGCAGGCGGUUUGUUAAGUCAGAUGUGAAA
This 488-nucleotide ribosomal RNA is filed under the name Escherichia coli. Its description in RNAcentral is "bacterial SSU rRNA". It matches the Rfam family "Bacterial small subunit ribosomal RNA", at positions 114 to 599 of the family's 1533-position model. Lineage: Bacteria; Pseudomonadati; Pseudomonadota; Gammaproteobacteria; Enterobacterales; Enterobacteriaceae. The record is from RNAcentral.